GACGAACCGUGCGAACGUUAUUCGGAAUCACUGGGCUUAAAGCGCGUGUAGGCGGGACGGCACGUCGGUCGCUGAAAUCCCCCGGCUCAACCGGGGAAGUGGCGCCGAAACGACCAUCCUAGAGGGGCGUAGGGGGGGCUGGAACUUCCGGUGGAGCGGUGAAAUGCGUUGAGAUCGGAAGGAACGCCCGUGGCGAAAGCGAGCCCCUGGACGUCAUCUGACGCUGAGACGCGAAAGCCAGGGGAGCGAACGGG
RNAcentral lists this ribosomal RNA (254 nucleotides) under uncultured bacterium. RNAcentral describes it as "partial 16S ribosomal RNA". It matches the Rfam family "Bacterial small subunit ribosomal RNA", at positions 524 to 776 of the family's 1533-position model. The record is from RNAcentral.